AAAAGUAGAAAAGGGCACACGGUGGAUGCCUAGGCAUACAGUGGCGAUGAAGGACGUGCUAAGCUGCGAUAAUCUGCGGGGAGCUGCAAAGAAGCGUUGAUCCGCGGGUAUCCGAAUGGGGAAACCCAUCCCGAGCGAUCGGGAUAUUCCUUCGGGAAGGCAAACCCUCCGAACUGAAACAUCUAAGUAGGAGGAGGAAAAGAAAACAAUAGUGAUGUCCCAAGUAGUGGCGAGCGAACGGGACGGAGCCCAAAUCCUGGCGGGGCAACCUGCCAGGAGGUUGUAGGACCACAACAUCCGAACUCAAGGCGAGUCGAAGCUGACUGGAAAGCAGCCCCAUAGACGGUGAAAGGCCGGUAGGCGAAGCCCGCGGGGAGGUAGUGGUAUCCUGAGUAAUGCGGGACCGGUGAAAUCCUGCAUGAAUCUGGCGGCACCAUCCGCCAAGGCUAAAUACAUCUGUAUGACCGAUAGUGGACAAGUACCGUGAGGGAAAGGUGAAAAGAACGCCGAGACGGCGAGUGAAAUAGUACCUGAAACCGUGUGCUUACAAGCGGUCGGAGCUCAUCUUCGGAUGGGUGACGGCGUGCCUUUUGUAUAAUGAGCCUACGAGUUGCUCCUGUCGUGCGAGGUUAAUCCGCUCAGCGGAGAAGCCGCAGCGAAAGCGAGUCUGAGAAGGGCGCGCAGUACGGCGGGGCAGACGCGAAACCGGGUGAUCUAUCCAUGGUCAGGGUGAAGGUGCCGUAACAGGUGCUGGAGGCCCGAACCGCCUGGCGUUGAAAAGCCAUCGGAUGAACUGUGGAUAGGGGUGAAAGGCCAAUCAAACUCGGAAAUAGCUCGUACUCCCCGAAAUAUAUUUAGGUAUAGCGUUUGCCAUAGAGCCUGCCGGAGGUAGAGCACUGAUUAGGCUAGGGCCCUUCACCGGGUACCAAACCUAGACAAACUCCGAAUGCCGGCAGGUGUUGCCAGGCAGUCAGUGGCAGGGUGAUAACGUCCUGUCGCGAGAGGGAAACAACCCAGACCAUCGGUUAAGGUCCCAAAAUACCAGCUAAGUUGAACAAAGAAAGUUGGAUUGCCCAGACAACCAGGAGGUUGGCUUAGAAGCAGCCAUUCCUUAAAAGAGUGCGUAAUAGCUCACUGGUCGAGCGAUCCGGCGUCGAUAAUUUGCGGGCAUAAGCUGGUUACCGAAACCAUGGAUUCUAUCACUUGAUAGAGUGGUAGGGGAGCAUACCGACCCCGCCGAAGGCGGCCUGUGAGGGCUUCUGGAGGGGUCGGCAGAGAAACUGUAGGCAUGAGUAACGAUAAGACGGGUGAGAAACCCGUCCACCGAAAACCCAAGGGUUCCUGAUCAACGCUAAUCGGAUCAGGGUUAGUCGAGACCUAAGGUGUAG
This 1388-nucleotide ribosomal RNA is filed under the name Candidatus Bathyarchaeota archaeon. RNAcentral's name for it is "partial 23S ribosomal RNA". It matches the Rfam family "Bacterial large subunit ribosomal RNA", at positions 1 to 1401 of the family's 2925-position model. The record is from RNAcentral. Lineage: Archaea; Thermoproteati; Candidatus Bathyarchaeota.